AUGGCUAUCGAAGCAUGCAACUCAUUUUUUGUUGGUCAAGUUGAUGAUCUAAAAACAUGUGUGAGCCUUCUAUAUCGAAACGGAAGAAGUAUCAUUUUGCUAGUCUCUGCAUUCUUUGUCUUACUGUCACCUAGUCACCUUCCUGGCAUUUACCACUCUCAAGUUGAUAGGCUGAUAGAUAGUGAUGCAUCAGGAUCCAUUCCACCAGUCGAGCCACAUGGUAUUGAAAUACUGCCCUCCGUUCACGCUUCACUGUCUAUCUUAACUAUUGACAAAGAAGGAAAUGGAACAGCGGUUCACCUAUUUCAACUGCGAUGUUAG
RNAcentral lists this ribosomal RNA (321 nucleotides) under Triticum aestivum (bread wheat). RNAcentral's name for it is "partial small subunit ribosomal RNA". The record is from RNAcentral. Lineage: Eukaryota; Viridiplantae; Streptophyta; Magnoliopsida; Poales; Poaceae.